AGCAGCCGCGGUAAUUCCAGCUCCAAUAGCGUAUAUUAAAGUUGUUGCAGUUAAAAAGCUCGUAGUUGAAUUUCGGGAUCAAUACGUCGGUCGUGCUUCGGUACGUACUGGCGUCAUUGAUUUCUCCCUUCUGACGAACCAUGAUGUCAUUAACUUGGUGUCAUGGGAAAUCAGGACUGUUACUUUGAAAAAAUUAGAGUGUUUAAAGCAGGCACACGCUUGAAUACAUUAGCAUGGAAUAAUGAAAUAGGACGUUCGAUCCUAUUUUGUUGGUUUUAGGAUCAACGUAAUGAUUAAUAGGGAUAGUUGGGGGCAUUAGUAUUCAAUUGUCAGAGGUGAAAUUCUUGGAUUUAUUGAAGACUAACUACUGCGAAAGCAUUUGCCAAGGAUGUUUUCAUUAAUCAAGAACGAAAGUUAGGGGAUCGAAGACGAUCAGAUACCGUCGUAGUCUUAACCAUAAACUAUGCCGACUAGGGAUCGGAUGAUGUUAAUUUUUUAAUGACUCAUUCGGCGCCUUACG
This 520-nucleotide ribosomal RNA is filed under the name uncultured Glomeraceae. RNAcentral describes it as "SSU rRNA". It matches the Rfam family "Eukaryotic small subunit ribosomal RNA", at positions 569 to 1092 of the family's 1831-position model. Lineage: Eukaryota; Fungi; Glomeromycota; Glomeromycetes; Glomerales; Glomeraceae. The record is from RNAcentral.